GAAUUUGGAGAAUUAUUUAAUGCCAAAUGAACUGAGAUCAGCUAAUUAGAGGAACCAGCACACUCACUGUGCAUAAAAAGAUGCCUUUUAGUCAUAAAUGGAAGCAGCAUCAGCACUCACAACCAUAAUAUGCUGGGUAUUAGAGUGCCAGGGCUUUGUGCUAAGUGGGCACUGGGUCCCACCAUAAGUGUCAAGUCAACAAACUAAAGUUUAUAUGUAAUCCUCCUUCUCUGAAAAGCAUGUCUAUUGAUAUUUCCCUGGUGAAGGAAUAAAAUUUAAUAUCUUAAUUUUUAUUUACAUUACUACUAAUAAUAAUUUGCCCUUUCUGCCACAUUCUAUCCAUGACCAUCAGAGAGAAUUACAAAUAUUAAUUAAAACCCUUUACACCUCCGGGAAGACAUGCAAUUACUAUAUAUAGUCUCAGAGACCUCAGUCAACAGGCUGUCAGAUAAACCACCCUAACUCUUUGACUCACAACUCCUGACUUCUAUUCUCAGACUGUAUCUUUAUUUUCUGUUACCAUCAAGAGACUUCUGGCCAAAUUGCUGGCUCUUGUGACAUCCCAAAGAAAGAUGGGGAUGGAGGAUAGGAUGUAGGUUUAGUCACAGUUAACGAUUCGGGACAUUUAAGGACAAGCCUGGGGAGAGAAGCCUUUAAUUGAGUGUGGACAAAGACAAAGCUUUAUAAGAAAAGCUUGGAUGGCAUUUGCAUUUUCUCACAUUAUGUAAUAUAUGACAAGGGAGGAUUCAUGUCCCUGCUAGAAGAAAAGCCAACACACUUUUUUUUUUCUAAAAUUGCUGUGAGCUAAUAAUAACUGCAUCUAUUAACAGCCGUGACUUCAGAACCAUAGUAUGAACUAGUUUACCUCAUCACAUAACUUAGAAUGCUUCCCAGAUUGAAAAGUCUUAUCUGGGACCUUUGUUACAAAACCAUUACAUUGUUGUCCAUCUAUAGAUGUAUACACAUACAUAUAAAGGGACAUGCAAAUAUGCCUAUAAUUUAGAUCUUCUGUGUGUUAAGAUAAUUUGAGAUCUGGGUCUUCUCUCUGGAACUUUGUUAUCGGAGUCAGCAUAUUUAUUCAGCAAUGUGUCUAUGUGUCAAUCAAUAGAUCAUUUUUUAACACAAGUUUCACUGCCUAAGGAAUACACACUAUUGGGAUUUAGGAAACUCUGGUCACAAGGCUGGUCUUCCUGCUCGGUCCUUGCCUUCCAGUCUGCUCUCAACUCAGCCUCAUGCCAGUUUGCUCUGACCUUGAGGAAUUGGGGCUAUUUUUGCUGCUCUGCAGUACUAGGCAUGUCCUCCACACAGCCAUUGGGCUCCCUGUCCUGUUCAGGGCUUUGUCCAAAUGACAUCCACUAAUGAGGCACUCCUUGCCCAUGCCCUGGUAAUUGGGACAUUCCCUACACCAAGAGCUGACCUUUGCCUUGUUUUUGCUCAAUGUGUCUAAUGGACUAUCCUAUUUGUUCAUUUGUUCUCGUGUCACCUCCAAGCUAAGAUGAACUCUCCAUGAGCCUAGAGAUUUCAAAGUUUUCUUCAUUAUUAUAUUCUUAGUGUCUAAGAGUGGUGAUGGUAACCACUCAAAAUGUUUGUUGACAAGAAGAACACAGAAGCCCGUUUGAAGGGGCUCCCACUGAACAAAUCUGCCAUAAUUUGAGACUCAAAAUUAGUCAACGUACAAAGUAUAAGGACACAGGAAGGUAUAUAAAACAUACAGGAGCUACUGAUAUAAAUAAAGAAAACUUAAAAACAACCAAACACCAAGGAAUAAACAGAGAACCAUCACUUAACAGCCACAGAGAUUCCUGCUCUAACCUAGAAUUGUAAAUGAUACAAACCUAGUAUACAUCUAGUAAGGGAAGAUGUGAGGCAUUCUAAAGAACUACAUAGUUUUAAAGUACUCACCACAAUUUACUUGGUAAUUACAAAAGGAAACUAUUGUUUCACAUGGGUGAUUUGCCAUGUACAACUUGAUACAAGUUGUCAACCUUAAUAUUGUCAGUAAUUGAAGGAAUAGACAGAGCACACUGGGAGAUGCCACACAAUUGUAAGAAUUCAGCAUCUCCUCUUGUGCAUUACCAACUUAUAUCUCACAACUUAUACCUCAUCAUUGGGAAAUACAAGAGGAACUCGGCUUGCUAGAAAGCAUACAACAUAGUCCCUCUGCAGGUUUAAUUGUCACUGUCAUAAAAUUCAAAGACAGAAUGACUUCGGAUUCAAACAGACUAAAGAUAAAUGCCAAUGGCUCACAGACAACAAAUUAGCUUACAGUUUCCAUUGGCUGCAAAGAGCUUUGUUCGUUAGAUAGUAUUAUUUUAUCAAUGUUAAUUGUCUGACUAUGAUAAUCAUGUUGUCACAUAAGACGACACCCAACCCCACAGUUAAAUAUGCUGAUGUAUUUGGGAUAAAGGGACAUCUUGUUCACAAAGUUUACAAAUGUUUUGUUCAUGUGUACACAUCUGCAUUUUAUUCCCAUGUGUAAAUACAUGGAGGUGGGGAGAAUACAGCAAUGGUACUAAAUACACAGCAGCCCUUCUAAACCUCAUCACAGGAGACAGAAAUUCUGUUACCAGCCUCCAAGUUCUCAUUAAGCUGGAAAAUGUGUUGAAAUGUUAAACAAUGUUGAAAUCGAAUGCAUGAAUGAAUGCAGCAAUGAAUGAAUGGAUAUAGGAAACUAGGGGAGAAUGUUUUCCAGAAUUCUGUUGCAGGAAACAUGGAGCUGGAAUGGGACAGGGGCAUUGCAGGGAGUUUUGUCUGUCCUGCAGAAUAAGUAGCAACCUCCUCAAGGGCUCCGUUGCUAACACUGCUGACCUUGACAUGGCUGGUGUAGCUGCUUAGACACUGUGCCUUUUAGCUCAACAGUUGCUGAUCCCAUACUAAACUUAUAAAAGGUUGUUUUCUUCAGGCCCAGUCGGCCAGUUUCACGGUCUGAGAUGAGGUUUUCAUUGCUGCUCUCUGCCCUGCUGUACUCAUUAAUAACCACCAUCCCUGUCUUCUUCCUGAUGGCCUAGAUCAUAGAUUAAGGGAUUUCCCCCCUCCCCUCACCCUUCUGCACAGUAUCAUUCAGGAAACCAGACAGGAGAGUAAUAAUAGUUUUACUACGUCAGAGCCUUGGUCAAUACAUAAUUAAGUCAUAUUUUAAUGGAACAGACAUAAAAGAUAGAUAGUUAUCAACUGUAGUACUAAAACCAGACCCCUAAAAGCAAAGCUAUUUCUAACCUUCUAGAGUUUUUAAUCGGAGAUAUACUCUUCUCAUUACUUUUAUACUUUUUUUCCUUUCCAUUAAAAUCCAUAUUCUGGUCUAGGGUACUAAAUGUUGCAGGGAUUUUGUUGUUAUCUUUCCUUGACCACAAAUUUACAAAGCAAUUCUCAGGAGAGAAACAUCCUAGACUCUGCAGGUGGGCUGGGCUCUUCAAAGCUCCUGUUACUCACUAGUUAAUCGCAAACUAUGAACUCACUUACACCCUGAAAACUUUCUCUCACAAUUCCUAUGCAGGUUGCCAAAAAACCAAACACCUGGAAAAAACAUAGGAGGUGGCAAGGAGCUGAGGAGAGAAGAAAGUGGGCAAAUCUCCCAUUUGUUACAGCAGACUCUGCCUUUUUUUUUUUUUUUUUUUUUUUUAAUCUUCAAGAAGUUCUAAAGCAGGAACUUCUUGAAUUUCUUGAGAAUUUCCCAGGCAGCGUAGGUCAUUCCAUAUUCCUGGAUACCUCCAAUAAAGGACUGUUCAGUGCUUGUGGAAUAGAGACAGGAACUCCUACUUCUUUUACUUACAAAGUGUCCUUGGCACUAACAUCUGAAAAUUGUGUUGUUCUUAAGAAAAUAUUCAAGGAACUCUGCAUAUAAGAGGGAAUUGGCCAUUUCUCAUUUUUCUAAUGAGAAUUCGCUGUUUAGGUCUGCAUUCAAUGUUUUAAUUAGAUCAUUGGUUUGCUGACAUCUAGUUUCUUGAGCUCUUUAUUUAAUUUGGGGUUUUGUUCCCUUCUUACCAAUGGGAGAAGUGACUCUGACCUUUUGCCCUUUAUGCCUAUGAGUGGGACCUUUUUCCCCCUACUGGGUGGCCUCACUAUGCAGCUUUGAUAUGAGGGUUUUAUGCCUAGUCUUAUUAUAUCUUGUCAUGGUAAGUGUGGUUGAAAUCAUUGGGAAAUCUGCUCUUUUCUGAAGGGAAUGGAGACAGAGGACUCGGGUGGGGGUUGGAGGGGGGGAGAGGUCGGGUGGGAGUGGAGGGGGGAGAGCUGUGGUUGUGAUGUGUUGUAUGAAAAAAUAAUAUGAUCAAGUAUUUAAAAAAAAUAAAAGAAGGAUUUGGGCUUCGGAUAAAUACAGGGCAGCCUCUCAAAAUGGAGUUCCGGUGCUGGUCAAGCUUAAUGCUUAGUGUUAAGGCCCUUUGAUGUUGCUGCCAUCACAGAACGUUCAACUGUAGCUGAUUUUUCUUUACACCUUCAUUCUGUAAGCAGCAUCAAUUCCUUAGCAAGGAUGGCAGGUUGGAGGUUGAUUAGCAAUGAUUGGGAAGUGAUGCCACAGCUCAUCACGCCGCCAUUGUAUUCCAUUAGCUGGGAAGCACAGAUUGAGAACACCGCAUUAAAACAAAACCCCCGUGUACAAUUCACGAGGGACCAAAGAGCAUCUGUACCAUUCAAGGGUUUAAAGAUUUGGGUCACCCACAUAGUAUUAUCUAAAAUAGCAUCACGGGAAGGAGGCAGCACAGAGGGGCAUGUGGUGGGAGGAGAGUGAGAUGAGCACUGGAACGGAGUCUCUGAGCUUGUUGAAAUGGAGCAACACCAUACCGAGAGAGAUUAAGCUGUUUGCAUAUGUUAAACGGCUUUCGUUUACACACACAUUCGUGGGGGUGUUUACCAAUUAAUAUACUAAAGGAAGCACAAAUCAUGUGCAAAUCACCAGUUCCUAGACACAAUUUAAGGCUCAUCUUUCAUGCAGUGUUGGGCUUUUUAGAACUGAAAUGAUGCCUUGCUGGGAAGGAGUGAGGGGAGAGCGGAGAGGAGCGGAUCUAUGCAUCACGCCGCUGUGACAGUUUUUAAUAUCUAGUCUGCGUGGCAGAGACCCCACUAAGCUUGAAGGAUUUCUUGGCCUUUUCUAGCUGCAGCGUUCUGAUUUGCAUUGAGACCUUUCAUUACGCUCACCUGGAUAGUUUGCAGAAUCUCAGCUUCUCAAGGUCUUUAACAUGACUCAGACCUGAAGAAUCCCUUAGCAAAAGGGAAGAACAUGCCCAGGACCUCGGAGCAGCAUGGGGCAUCUUUUAGGGAGCCAUUAUGUUUGGAAUCCUCUGCUCCCGCUUCUUGUCCUAGAUUAUGUCCCAGGCACUGCCUAUGCUGAAGUCGGCAGUGGAAUCUUGACAAGUUCUGCAUGUCAUCAGUACUAUUUCAAGGAGCUCCGGGAUGCCAGGAAGGUGACACUGCCAGCUUCUCUAAAGUUUUCUACAAGCUUAUCCCUGAACGGCUCUCCUAUCAUCUGAGGCCAGGUAGUGAUGGCUUUCUUAGCUGACUGAGGAUGAUUAUAAAAAUAAGGAUCCUUAAUCAUCAGAGAAAUGCAAAUCAAAACAACCCUGAGAUUCCAUCUCACACCAGUCAGAA
Molecule: long non-coding RNA, 5580 nt
Organism: Mus musculus (house mouse)
Lineage: Eukaryota; Metazoa; Chordata; Mammalia; Rodentia; Muridae
Product: predicted gene, 32505
Exons: 5
Source: RefSeq, a predicted model, not a curated record